Notothenia coriiceps (black rockcod) is the source of this 1967-nucleotide RNA transcript. It is a transcript of the gene named glucocorticoid receptor-like, with no coding region annotated. The transcript has 4 exons. NCBI's taxonomy places the organism in Eukaryota, Metazoa, Chordata, Actinopteri, Perciformes, Nototheniidae. The record is from RefSeq and is a predicted model, not a curated record.
UUGAGUUUGCAGUUGAGUGCGCCAGGGCAACACGGCUGUAUUAUAUAACUUUAAUGUAGGCUACUCACGGGUUUAAUGGCGCAAGAGCAGAAUAUCGCGCCGCAGAUCUGUGGAUUCAUUGCGGAAUUAUCCUGAACUCGAGUGCAAGUGAGCGAUUGAUCACUUUUUCCCUCCUACUGGCGACGCGCGUUAAAAGUUAUCGACAGAUCGGCGGCACGUCGCACUCGGUGGAUCCCGUCAGCUUCAGACAGGUCGGCGUCGUUCUUGACUAUAGUUAAAAAAGAGUUGCUAUUGCAGACGAUGUUUUCCUUCCGUGCGAGGAGAGGGGUGACAACGAAUCCAUUUGACAUUUCACCACGCAACAUUACAGCAAGGAAGGUGUUUUAUUCGAGUGUGUGACUCUGGGGACAUUGCGUUAUUUCUCACAUUUUUUCCAAGUUGGACUGACAGGAGAUGAGCUAACCGGCGGAACACAUCGUUCUUUCACUACAGGAUAAAGAAAUGGAUCAGGGUGGACUGAAGCGCAACGGUAAUCAAGACGACAGCCUGACAUUUGGGGAGACAAGAUCCGGAGUAGGCAGGGAAACGGGUGACACAGCUGGUUUACUGCUCCAGUCUGCAGGGCACCUGCUCGGUCCCAGGUCUAUGCCCCAGCCCACAGUGGCCCCGAAUGGACAUGGUGUAACCAAAGACCAAGGGAAACUUGGAGGCCUCUUUGAUUCUCCUCAGCAUCACAUCCAAUGUGAGGGUUCAGACAUGAAGGAGGGUAAGAUCACCAGAAUGCAGAAACAACACCAGGAUAGCGGUGUAUUUAACAUUGAGGACGACCUGCCGUUGUUGAAACAGAAUAUUUCCAAUCUCAACAGUCCGGCCUCCUCUGUCAUCAACACCUCAGUCUCCUCCAUCCUGGGGAAUCUCCCUCUGCCUGAUCUUUUUCCCCAACACAUCAAGCAGGAGGGACGUUUUUCUAUGGAUAAAGACUUGGAAAAUUACAGCUGUAACACGGGUGUAAGGCUGUGUGAUUUAGAUGAGAAAGGCAGUUGCCUAAUGGAGGAUACUGAAAUGUGGCAAGACCUGGACCUUCCUAAUUCUCUGCCAGAAAUUAGCGAUUUUGAGUUGGAUUCAGAAGUGGCACACUUGGAUAACAUCCUACAUGACAGCAGGGGUGGAGGCGGUCCUGUAAGCGGCUUGCUAAAAGAAACAAAGCCUCUGGUGGGUAACGGAGUAAACUGCAACAAUGUGAACGGCACGGACCAGCAGCACCAGCCCAUCCACCAUCAGCAGCAGCAGCAGCAGCAGCAGCAGCAGCAGCAGCAGCAGCACCACCUUCUACAGCACCAGCUCCAUCACCAGCAGCAGCCUGCAUCUCUGCUCUCCAGCGUUAUGAUCAAGGAGGAGAAGGAUCCUGACGACUCUUUCAUUCACAUCCGUACUCCUGGUGUUGUGAAACAGGAGAAGCAGGAGAAUACAGGGUUCUGCCAAUCGCAGUGUCUGCAGAGCAGCAUGAGCUCUCUCCAUGGAGGAAGCUCCAUGUCUUCCCCUAUGGGCGUCGGUGCUGGAGCUUCGUACCUAUACAGAGCCAACCCAUCCUCCACAGUGGGCCUACAAGACCAGGAGCCUUUUGGCAUGUACCCAAACCUGCCUCUGGUGGGGGAGACCUGGGUCAGGGGGAACCGGUUCGGAGAGUCGUCCGGGUUGCAGAUGGGCGACGACGGACUCCCCUCCGCUGCAGCCUUGGCAAGUUUUUCUGUCAACUUCUCAAGGCCUGCCUGAUGUUUGAUCUUCUUCUGGUCUAAUUUUUUUUAAAGCUCUACCUGACAUGAUGAGAGCAUCUUCACAUGAUGACUGCUUUGUAGGUUUUUGUUUCGAACUCUGGGUAGUAUUUGACUGAGGUAGCAAUGCCAUGAAGCAAAAUUGGCUGGCUGUAUCAGAUCAUAAAGUGUUACAGCAUUUGUAUAUAUGUGUUA